AUGCAGCCCAGGACACAGGUGGUUUUCUGGCCUGCAGGAACAUGAAGACUGUAUUUAGGAUAGCACUUGAAGGUGUUAAGGCCGCUUGACUGGAGUUACAACCUCAAGAUGAGUCAUGGUAUGAGCAGGGAAGUUCUAGGGGGAAAAAAAAAAGAAAAAAGCAUGAAAUAUGACACCAGCAGAGAAAGGGAUCUAGCUCUAAAGGGUGAAGUAUGGACCAGAUAAGUGGACAAUAAGGUAGAAUUAAAACUGGUUGAUCUUCCAGACUUGCAAGAAUUAUAAUGAGCACUAUGAAGUUCAGCUGGAGGCCAGUUACCAGCAGCAUGCCUUAGGGGUAAACACUGCCUCCAAAUGAGUGGAUGAAGCACCAAGCUUCAUGAAUGACCUCAUUGACUGAGAAGAGCAUGGCCUCAGAAAGCUUGCAGACAAUACAACAGUAGAAGGAGAUAAUGACUAAUCAGGUGAUUGUUCUGCCAUUUAGAGGGAUCCUGACACACUGAAGAAAGAGCCAGAGAAUAAUGACAUCUAGUUCAACAAAGGGAGAUCACUGGAGGUUGUGAAAAUGCCAUUAGACAGACAGGUAGACAAUGUCAUCAAGGCUGUCCUUCCCAAAAAAGACUGGACCAGAUGAUCUUUCAGAAUCCUGGGCCAUUUUAUGAUUUGAUGACAUGCAACAUCAUGUACCUGAUCACAAAUGCUGACAUGCACAUAUUCUUUGUUAGUCACUGAAUUAUCCAUGAGCCACCUGUUUGCUCUUCUAUCACAGAAGACAAACAGCUACAUCAGCAGAAAUGUUGUCAGCACCUUAAGGGAGGUGAUCCCUCCUCUUCUCAGCACUGGUGAGACACAUCUGGAUUGCUGAGUGCAGUUCUGGUCUUCCCAGUACAAAAGAGAUAUGGACUUACAGAAUACGUUAAGGCAAGGCACAAAUAUGAUUAAGGUUUUGGAGUGUGUCACAUACAAGGAAAGAGUGAGGAAACUGGAUUGAUUCAGCCUUGGGAAGAUGAGGUUUAGGGAUAUCUUAUAAAAUUUUAUAAAUAGCUGAUGAUUAGGAAUAAAGAUGAGGAAAUCAAACACACUUGAGUGAUAAUUAUUGAGAAGACAAAGGCAAUAUGUACAAAUGGAAAUAUAGGAAAUUCCAUUUCUAUUAAACAAAAUAUUUCUGCAAAGGUGAUAACAUACUGGAACAGCUUGCUCAGAGAUAUUGUGGAGUCUACAUUCCUGGAGAUGUGGACACUCCAACUGGACACAGAUGUAAACCAUAAACUCUACCUGAUCCUGCUUCAAGGAAAGGUGUUGGACUAGGUGAUCUCCAGAGAUGUCUUCCAUCCUCACAGAUUCUCUGAAAAUAUAAUAUUCUGUCAUCAGAUUUUACCUUAGCUACACAUUAAACAACCUUCCUAACUAGUUUCAGUAAUUCUGCUCAACUCUAUUUACAAGUGGACAGCUAUUUAUAAGGAACAGGAUGAC
Long non-coding RNA from Passer domesticus (house sparrow), 1470 nucleotides. RefSeq lists it as uncharacterized. NCBI's taxonomy places the organism in Eukaryota, Metazoa, Chordata, Aves, Passeriformes, Passeridae. The record is from RefSeq and is a predicted model, not a curated record. The transcript is spliced from 3 exons.